UUGACCUCGGAUCAGGUAGGGAUACCCGCUGAACUUAAGCAUAUCAAUAAGCGGAGGAAAAGAAACCAACAGGGAUUACCUCAGUAACGGCGAGUGAAGCGGUAACAGCUCAAAUUUGAAAGCUAGCCCUCUUAGGGUUCGCAUUGUAAUUUGUAGAAGAUGCUUCGGGUGUGGCCCCGGUCUAAGUUCCUUGGAACAGGACGUCAUAGAGGGUGAGAAUCCCGUAUGUGACUGGGUGCUUUCGCUCAUGUGAAGCUCUUUCGACGAGUCGAGUUGUUUGGGAAUGCAGCUCAAAAUGGGUGGUAAAUUUCAUCUAAAGCUAAAUAUUGGCCAGAGACCGAUAGCGCACAAGUAGAGUGAUCGAAAGAUGAAAAGCACUUUGGAAAGAGAGUUAAACAGUACGUGAAAUUGUUGAAAGGGAAGCGCUUGCAACCAGACUUGCGCGCUGAUGAUCAUCCGGGCUUCUGUCCGGUGCACUCGUCUGCGCUCAGGCCAGCAUCGGUUUCAGUGGCGGGAUAAAGGCCUUGGGAAUGUAGCUCCUCUAG
Molecule: ribosomal RNA, 545 nt
Filed under: Pyrenopeziza brassicae
Lineage: Eukaryota; Fungi; Ascomycota; Leotiomycetes; Helotiales; Ploettnerulaceae
Description: eukaryotic LSU rRNA
Rfam family: Eukaryotic large subunit ribosomal RNA
Source: RNAcentral